RNAcentral lists this long non-coding RNA (2256 nucleotides) under Homo sapiens (human). Its description in RNAcentral is "HSALNT0109201". Lineage: Eukaryota; Metazoa; Chordata; Mammalia; Primates; Hominidae. The record is from RNAcentral.
UGGGAGAAGAAGUUGUAGCCUUGCUAAACCUGUCUCACAGAAGAUAGCAAAGCCUUCAUACUCACUUGACUCUGGGAAGGAUUGUGUCACAGAGUAAAAGAAGAAAUUGCUUAUAGACUACAAAGGCUAACAUGGAGAUAGAAGAACCACAUGGAGCUUGGAAAAUGGGAAUCUCAGUAAUAACAUAAUGGCUGUGAGUCUGCAGGGGUGUCCUCCAGUGCUUUUGUUCUUGUUAAAUCCCCAAGGACCUUUGAAGGAUAGUGGGGAGGGGAAUCCUCCAAAUACCUAAGAUUAAAUUUCCUACUGGCUUGGUAGGAUGGAACUUGUAAAUGAAAUUAAAUUUAUUUAUAUUAUUAUUGUUGUUAUAAUUAUUAUUAUAAUUUAUUUUUGACAUUAGGCACCAAACAAGACCAAUCAUAAUUUUUGGCUCAUAACAUACUUGCCAUCAUUGCUUACUCCUGGCCUUCAUUUAUUUUAUUUCUUUAAUUUUAUAUAUUCAUUGACAAUAUGAUGAAGUUAUAUGAAUUCACUGCCUGAAUCAAGAACUAGAAAGUUAUUAAUAACAAAUAUACACAUAUAUGUUCCUCCCUACUCCAUUUUUAAAAACCUGCCUUUGGAGUAGCUAUUAUUUGAAUUUUAUUUUUAUCCUUAUUAUGCCUUAAAGAAACAUUAUUGUGUUUGUGUGUAUGUGUGUGUAGUCCUAAAAAUAUUUUGCUUAGUUCAAAAUGUAUGGAUCUUCUUGGAUUUGCUCUUCCACUCUUCAUUUUCAUAAUAGGAUUCAUUCAUGUGUUACAUGUUGCUUGGUUCAUUAAUUUCCAUUGAUAUUUAAUGUGUCUGUGAUUAUGCCACAGUUUAUUGAAACUCUUGUUAAUGGGUAUUUGGACAGCUUCCAGACUUGUGCUAUCAUGCACACUGCUGCUUUCUGGUACACAUUUGCUAAACUUCUCUUGGGUAAAUACCUAGAAGUGGAAUUGCUGGCUCACUGGGUGUGCAAAUAUUCAACUGUAUAAGAUAAUACCAAAUUGUUUUCCCAAGUGAUUAUUCUAAUUUACAUCCUGUCAACAAUGUGUGAGAGUUCAUCAAUCUACAGUCUCUGGAAUACUUGGUAUUGUCAGCUUUUCAGUUCUUGCCUAUUGAAUGCAUGUAAAAUAAUAUUUCCUACUCUUGUUUCACAUUUCCCUGAGUACGAGUUAGAUUGAGCAACACUUCAUAUGCUUUUUAUUAAUACAUAUUUUAUCUUCUGUGAAAUGCCUAUUCAGGUCUUCUGCCCAGUGUUCAUUUAUUAUUGGCUUGUAGGACUUCUUUACGUAUAAACAGUAUCACAAUUUUAAUCUUUUCUAUUAAGUGUUUUUGCGGUAGUUUAAGAAAUUAUUCUUCACCUUAAAUUCAGAAAGAUAUUCAUCUAUAUUUUAUCUUAUAAUAUUAAACUUUUAAAUUCAACAGCACAUCACCAUCUCUACACAUCAUGUAGGAGUUUCUAACUAGUUCCAUAAAUGAAGAAAUGAAUUAAAAGUUAUAAGGCUAGGAAAGGAAAAAAAACCUGUAAUUUUCAGACGACAUGAUUGUCUGCUUGAAAUCCUCCCCAAUUGAGCAAACAAAUAAAUAUAAUAGGAAGUUGAGCAAAGUGGAUGAACAUAAGAUUAAUACAGAAAAGUUGAUUACACUUGUAUAAAUCAGAAACAAACAGAAUAAUAACUAUGAACACACAAUUUACAACUAAAAGUAUAAAGUACAAUACUUAGGAAUAAAGCUAAUAAAAGAUGUAUAAACUUGGAUGUAGAAAACUAUAAAACAUUUCUGAAGAAUAUUUUUAAAAUACUAAUAAAUGGAGAUGUAUCCCUUGAUCAACAGGAAGAUAUCAUUAAGACCUUAAUCUUUCUUAUACAGAUCUACAGAUUUAAUGUAACUCUAGUCAAAAUCCAAAAAGGAUUCUUUAACUAAAAAAGGUCCAAAAUAGCCAAAAUACUUCUUUAUUAAAUGAAAACAUGUAGAUGGAGUUGCUCUUAUAAAUACAAAGACAUAUAGAGCUAUACUAACUGGCAUGUGUUAUUCACACAGAAAAGAGAAAUUCAUGCAUGAAAUAGGAUACAGAACUCAAUAAAGGACUCAUAUAUAUAACUUUGAUGGGGUGGCAUGAAAGAACACUUAGGAAAGGAGUAAUUAUUCAAUAGUUACAGCUGAAAAAGUUGGUUGUCUACAUAGAAAAAGCAUGAAAAUUGAUCUUUACCUCAUACACAAAACAACCUUCCACAAAUU